This 37015-nucleotide long non-coding RNA is filed under the name Eucalyptus grandis. RNAcentral describes it as "long non-coding RNA (EGRA_LNC004069)". Lineage: Eukaryota; Viridiplantae; Streptophyta; Magnoliopsida; Myrtales; Myrtaceae. The record is from RNAcentral.
UCGGCACACCCAUUCUUCCUCAUCCUCUUCCUCCUGUCUUCCUCCUUUUUCUGUGCUCAAAUCUCUUGGCUUUGUUCGUCUCUUGCUCUGUUUCGCUCUUUCUUCUCGUCGGCUCAACCAUUCUUCUUCCUCCUCCUCCUCCUCCUCCUCCUCCUCUUUAGUUUCUGCUGCUCCUUUUCAUCAUUCUCCCUCUCCGUCUCUCUUUUUUCUCGCUCUUUCUUUCUCAGGAAAAAAAAUCAUAGAAAAAUGUCGGCAGAUCCUGUCGUUGGUAUUGGAUGGGAUGUCUUGAAGAGCUAUGUAGUUGUUCCCAUCGAACGUGGAUUCGGAUACGUGAUCUCCUCCAAGAGAUUCGCCGACCGUCUUCGGGGGGAAGUCCAGAAUCUGGAGAACGAGAAUCAGAGGGUCAAGGUUCUUGUGGAAGAGGCUAGAAGGAAUGUUCGGAAAUUCCUCGAUGUCUUCACGACGUGGGAGGCUAAUGCUGACAAGGCCUUGGAAGAGGCGCAAGAGCUGUUGGACGACGAAAAGGCGACCAAGACUUGCUGCUAUGGGACUCUUCCCGACCCCAAAUCUCGCUACCAGUUCAGCAGGAAGGCCGAGGGCAAGAUCGAGGUCAUUAAGCAACUCACUCAAAAAUGCAGCACAUUCAACGGAUUGAACGACAUCUCCUUCAUCGAUCCUGCUUUCACUUAUUCUGCCUCGACGUCGAUUAAGCUUGGGGAUGAUGGCGUCUUCGAAUCCAGAGCUUUGAUGAUACGGAACAUCAUGGGCGCUCUUGCCGGCAACAGUAAUAGUGUGGUCGGGGUUUAUGGGAUGGGCGGGAUCGGCAAGUCCACCCUUUUAGUGGAUGUUGAAAGGAAAAUAAGCGAAGAUAAGUCGUUCCAUUGGGUCGCUAAGGCUGACGUGUCGGAAAAUCCAGACAUCAAGACGAUUCAAGGAGAGAUUGCGGACGCCUUGGUCCUUACUGAGAUAAAGAACAAAGAGACUAUCAGCGGGCGAGCGAAACUUCUGCACGGGAGGUUGAAAGACGAGGAGAGGGAGAAAAAGGUCCUCAUUAUACUGGACAACCUGUGGGAGGGGCUUGACUUAAACAAAGUCGGCAUUCCUUGCGGACACGACAACAAAGUCAUAGGAUGCAAGUUAUUGUUGACGUCAAGAGAUCGUAAUGUUUUGCGAAGUGAAAUGGGCUGCGACAAGGACUUCCCCCUUGGUGGGCUGGAGGAGGAAGAGGCAAGAAGUUUGUUUGAGAGGCUGGUGGGAGACAAAGUUCAUGAUGGCGAGUUUAAACCCUUGGCGGAUGAAGCACUAGCCAAAUGUGCAGGUGUGCCUUUCCUAAUUGUUGCAAUGGCGAAACGUUUUAAAUAUGCCGAUUUAUCUGAAUGGAAGGACACUUUGAAGAAAAUCGAGAAGUCUAAAGAUAAAAAAAUCAAUGAUUUGAUAAACCAAAUGUUGCAAUGGAAUUAUGAUAAAUUAGAAGAGGAGGUGAAGUCAUUAUUACGACUCUAUGUUGUUUAUGGUAUCUCCAAGCCUUCUCUUGAAAACUUGGUGAGGUACAGCAUUGGUUUGGGUUUGCUUCAAGAAGUAAGCAGCAUGGAAGAAGCUAGAAAUAGAUUGAUCUCCCACAUACAUGCUCUUCAAGCGUCCUCCUUUCUGUUAGACAGUGAAGAUGUUGAUGGUUUCAAGAUACAUGACUUGGUUCAUGAAUUUGUUGUUUCGGUCUCUUCAAGAGAUCACCCUCUUCUCGCGUUGAAAGAUAAGGACGAGUCGAUAACAGAGUCAUCGAAGGACAAGCUCAAUAGUUAUAGGGCGGUAUGCUUUCCGUUUGUUGACAUGGAGGAGCUUCCUCAAGAGUUAUAUUGCCCUGAAUUGCAAAUCUUUUUGUUUUUCACAAACAAUAAAUCUCUUAAGGUCCCAAAUUCAUUAUUUCACUCUAUGAGGAAGCUCAUGGUCUUAAAUCUUACCGGAAUACGUCUCACUUGCUCCCCUUCAUCACCAUUUCAAUUCUUGGAGAAUUUACACACUCUAUGUCUUGACGGUUGUUCAUUAGAUAAUGUAGCCAUUCUUGGCGAGCUGAAAGGGCUACAAAUCUUAGUUUUGUGAACUCCAGUAUUUAUGGAUUGCCAAAAGAAAUUGGGCAAUCGGCAGAGCUGAGGUUGUUAGACUUGAACUAUUGUCCACAACUUGAGAUAAUUGAAUUGGGUGUACUUCAAAGCUUGAUCAAGUUGGAGGAGUUGUACAUGAAUGUUAGCUUUAAUCAAUGGAAUACCGUGGACCAAACUCCACCAAUUAAUGCUAGUCUGAUUGAGUUGAAUCACAUGAAAAAUCUCUGCACUUUGCAUGUGUACAUUCCUAAUCUGAGGAUGCUCCCUGAGGAUCUAAACGUCGGGAAAUUAACCAAGUAUGAAAUCCGAAUAGGUAAUGUGUGCUAUUGGUGGAGCGAGUGCAAAGGAUCAAGGACAUUGGAGCUCAAGUUGGAUCCAUUAGGCAAUGUUCUUCGAAAAGGAUGCAUUCAAAGUAUCCUAGGCAAAAUUGACAAUCUGUUUUUGGAAGGGUUGGACAGAAAUGAGCAAAGUGUUUGUGCGUUAUCCCAAAAAGGUUUUCCAGAAUUAAAGCAUCUACAGGUCAAAGAUAAUUCCUCUAUCCAUUGCAUCCUCCAAUUGCCAUCCAAUGCACAUUUUACGAUGUUGUAGUCGUUAAUUCUCAAUAAUCUCAUCAACUUGGAGAUGAUAUGCAAUAGCCAUAUCUCCUCCAAGUCCUUUAGUACAUUAAAAGUAGUACGAGUCAAAAGUUGUGAGAAGAUGGAAGUAUUGUUUCCUCUUUUAGUGGUGAGAGGACUUCCACAGCUACAAGAGAUUAAAGUUGCCGGUUGCAAGUGAAUGCAGAGGAUUGUAGAUGCCGAUGAUGGUGGCAAAGUUGAGUUUCAUAAUUUGCGUGUAUUGGAAUUGCAUAAUUUGCCAAAUAUUAAGAGCUUUUUCACUAUAGGGAUGGCUUCUUUGAGUAGUAGAUUUCACGACCAAGUUGGCAUUCAAAUUGCAUUCUUCAAUGAGAAACAGGUAACUUUCUGUCAAAAGAAUAUAAUACUUAUUACUAUUUCCUUCCUUUGCUUAUUAGAUGUAACACAGAUUAUGAUGCUUAUUUAUUUUGUUAUUUUCAGUUUGUUAUCUUCCUAAUUACCUUAUCCGUUCAUGCCUUCUCUAUAAUUAGUUAAAGCAAUCUUCCGUUUAAGUUAAUUGUGUAGAAAUCCAACUAAUUGUACAAAAUCCAUGUAAAUUUAGUUUGUGAUAGGUUUUAAAUUAUUUUCAACUAACAUGCUGCAAGUAUAUCUAUAUUUACAGGGUUUCAUAAGGCAAAAUUGACGAGAACUUCAGCAUUAAAGCAUUCCAUAAGUACAGUAAUUUUUAAUCCUUUGAAAUGAAUAUCACUGAAUUUAGUUACCGAACUUUGUUAUUAUUCACAAAAUGUAUAAAAUAGGCGACUCUCUUGAAAACCAAUAUGAAGAAUAGGAAGGAUGAUUGCUUAUAUAUAUAUAAAAGCAACUAUACUAAUCUAAUUGAUGCAUGUCUUUUGUAUGUCGUGUUUAAAUAGGCAUUUAGUCAUUGCAUAGGCCCAAAAAUUAUAAGAAUACAGACUUUUGUGCAUAGGUUUUUUCUUCUUUUUUUUUUUUUAGUGAAAGUACGCCUUGGCAAUUGUAUGACUUUUUGUGCAUGGUUUUUUUUUUUUUUUUACAGACUUUUGUGCAUAGCUUUUUUUUUUUUAAUAGUGAAAAUAGGCCUUGGCAACUGUGUGAUUUUUUAUUAUGCCGCAUCAAAGUCAUCAUUGCAAAUUUGAAAUUCUUGUUGUUGGAAUUCCAAAGUGUUACAUUUCUCUACUCCAUACGGCGGUAUUAAGGCCAAGUUGUUACAAUAUCAAAUGAUGGAACUUGAUGCCUUGAUGGAAAAUCCACCAUCUUAAAGUCCAACUAGUUUUAGAGAGACUCACUUCAAAUGUUUUGAUGGGCCUAGUAUUUUAAUUUGGCACUUGGUAUGUCUUAGUUUAAUUUCCAAAGGUUCAAGUGCUCCACAAUUUAAUCUUCAAGAAAUUUGUGGCGAAAUUUGAGUUUUCUUUUUGUUGAGUCCAUCCAAUUUAGAUUGUGAAUUUUAUGUAGCUUCGAUAUCUUAUCAAGAAAAACCGGUGGGGGUUGCCCAAUCUCGCGAGACCUUAUGUAAUCAUUGCGGUUUCUCUCCAUGUUAAUUUACAAAUCUAAAUACUAAGUCCUUUAAGUAAAUGUCUUCACAUUUGGCCUUUAAAGUAUGUAUAGAUAUAUUGGUAGACAAAUCCACAGUUUGUGUUUAAUAUCCUAUUAAAUUGGUUAUUGAUAGUGAUUUAUUGACAUUAAAAGAAGUCAAGUGAACUAUGGAUAAACAAUUGUCCAAUUAAGGAAAACACGCGUCUAUUUUACACGUGGAAGUAGUUGCUGCCGGUGGAGCCUUUUGGCUGACUAGACAAGAUUGCCCUUUAAUAGUGGCUUGGUUAUAGCUGAAGUUGAUGGUGGGGCCCAAGACUCGGGCCAUAUAUUAGUUUCCCCUUAGUAAAGAGUCGUGGAGAUUUUAGUUGAUGGUGGGUCCCUCAAGGUAGCAUGUCUAAGUAUCUCCACUUCAACCUCGACUUUUCUACUUCGCAUGCAAUAGAGGAGUUAGAUUGGGAGGCUAUGCAAAGAGGCUUUUGGGCUUCUAACUUUCAAGGGUUCUAAAUCUUCAUUAAAGAAUUUUACUCUUGCCUUGAUGCCUUCUCAUUUUAGGCAUGGAAACUAGAGCUGUGAAGAUCUAUGAGAUUAUAAUGAAAUGUUUUUGUUAACUAUAAUAAAUCUCUUCCAACAUUGUAAAGAGGUGGAGCAGACGAAAAUAGCAAUGGAAGGUUGGAUUGUCGAGAAUGACAAUAGUCAAACAAAGAAACGUAAAGAAGUUAAACUUGUUGUAAUAGAUGGGAGUAACAGGCAAUGGCAGGUAGAUGGGAGAUUUCGAGUAACUUUGCAGAAGAAGGGUCUUCCCAAGUUGAAGCAAUGAACUUUUAAGAAGACUAGUUACUUUUUGCCAAAAAUAAAAAAGAGAAGAAAAUAAAGCUGUCCAUUGUAAGUUAUCCUUCAGAAGGAAUAAAACUUGCUCACUAAUCAAAUUAAGUUCCGCAAUCAUUUUCCAAGUAAAGAUUGGACUAUUUAGCAACGACAAUAGUAUAGAGAUUUUUUUCUCUUUUUUUUUUUUAAAAAAAAAAUUCGUUUUUUCCCUUUUGUGGAACUUAAUAAUGCCCCCUCUCUUCUUGGCACACGUAUAUAUUAACAUUUUGGAAGUUCCUAAAUUCGUGAUUUAACUAAAUCACACUUCCAUGAGUGAAUAUUGCAGGUUGUCUUUUCAAAAUUGGAGACAUUAAAUAUCAAGGGCUUGGAUAAUGUCGAGUUUUUGUUUUCCCCAUCCAUGAUUAAAUCUCUCGCACAACUGAGAGAUCUACGAGUAUCUUAUUGCAAGAAGAUGGAGGUGAUCAUUACGAAGGAAGAAGGGUUGUCAUUGGAAAUAUCAAAAACUCUGGCAUUCCCGAUGUUAACUAACUUAAACUUAAAUUGUUUGAAAAGUUUGAUGAGCUUCUCUCGCGAAAAGUGUAAGAUUGAUUUUUUUGUUUUCAUCACUAAAGAUCUUCUUGUGGAUAAAUUCAUCCUUGCAAUACAAAUGGUGACAUUCUUUUCAUCCAUUGAAAAACUUAUGAUAGGUUCAUGAGAAGCUUGGAGUCAGGACUGCAUCAAAUCAUGCUCCACUGCACUCUUCAGUCAAGAGGUACAUGAUUAAUGUUAUGCCAAAAUAUUAUUUAUAUAACAAAAGUAUUAAAUAUGCAAAAGAAAAAGCAUAGCCAAAAUAAGAACUAACUAAAUAACUUACAAAGUGUACCUUGGUUAAAAAUAUUUUAAAGAAAAUGAGUGGUGUACAAACAUAAGUACUUAGAGUUGCCGACAUGUAUGAGUUGCAAUUUUUUUAAUUUUAAUUUCUCUAGAAAUAGUUUCCAUAAAGAUGGUUAAAUAUCUCUUAUCAUACUUGCACAAAGCAUGAACGAGCAAUACAACUGCGAAACAAGAUCUCUAAAAGCUUUUUGAUGUUCAUAGGAAACUCAAAGCUCUUAGCAACCUCGCAUGUAUGGCAUCGACAUUGCACGCAAGCACAUUGAAAGCAAUUUAAGAAACAAUGGAGAGGAAAGUGAUAGUAAUGUUCAAGAAGCUGUAGAUGAAGGGCCUUUAAGAUAGUCACUUGACUUCAUUUGCUCUUAAAAGAUCCCCUUUUUUGCCGUUAAUUGAAGGAAGCUUUAGUCUCCCUUAAUUCCACUAGCAAAAGGUAUUGAGCCCUCUCCGUCGCUAAACUGAGCAAGAAUCUAGGGUCCAGGGCAUCCGAAAUCACUCUUUUAAGUUUUAACAUGAAUUGGAAGACCAAAGUGAUCAUUCAGUGACUUCUCUAAGUGCACUGCAAGUUCAUUUAAUUAUUUCAUCCAUAUUGUAACUUAAAUUACCGUUUCUAAGUGAUUUAACAAAAGCCACGUAUACUAGCUAUUUCAUUCUUGGGUUAGCAAAAAAAAAAGCACCAAUUGUGAUUUGAUUAUUCUGGGAAAUUGACUAAAAUCAAGAGAGGGAGUGAUUUUAUUUAAAUUUGAGAUUAUGAGAGAUAAAUGUGAUUAUAUGAUAGUUCAGGAGCAUAUCCAAAUUACCAUUUUGCCUUGUCAACAAAAUCCGGUCAGAAUUCUCACUUUUUGUUUUGUCUGCAGUAAUUCCAAAAGCCUUCUAGAUCAACAUUUUUUUUUUUUUGUCAAAGAGUCAUCGACAUUUUUGUAUGGACAUUUGUGCAACUUAAGACAGACUCAUUAAUUUCAUGAAUUCGAAAUUUACAUCUUGACAUUCAUCUAUCUUGGAAGUUCAUGAUUAACUCAAUCAUCAAUUCCGUGAGCGAAUAUCGCAGGUUGCAUUUCCUAAAUUGGAGGCAUUAGAAAUCAGUGGCUUGGAUAAUUUUGAGAUGAUAUGGGACAAUAAAGUUGCUGUGGAUUCUUUCCCCAAGCUAAAAACCCUUUGUGUGGUUGAUUGCAAUAAGCUUGUGAGUGUAGUUUGUUCUUUCAUUCUAAGACAGCUCUUGAGCUUGGAAAGAUUGGAUGCAAGAAGAUGUGGUUCGCUUGAAAUUGUUUUUGAACUUCAGACAUUGAAUCGUCUAGAUGGACAUCCUAUUGCUCUUCCAUUAAGAGAACUGACGGUAUCAAGAUUACCAAAGCUAAAGUGCAUAUGGGAUAAGGAAAUCCAUUGUCAAAUAAAUUCCAGUGUCUACGUUCUAUUAGCGUUUCAAGAUGUGAGAGCCUCACCUCUUUGUUUCCAGCCUUAGUAACCAGAUAUCUAAUUCAACUUGAGAAGUUGGCGAUCAAUGAAUGUGGCAUUGUAGAAACCAUCAAGAGUGAAGAAGGACUAUUUCCCAAGUUUGUAUUCCCAAUAUUAACCUCCCUUGAGCUUGAGUGUCUGAGAGAGUUGAAGUGCCUCUACACAAGAACACAUACUUCCCAUUGGCCGGCAUUGAAGACCUUGAAGGUGCAUGGCUGUGACAAAGUGGAGAUACUUGCAUCGCACUCUGAGAAUGAGGUGCAACUUGAUAAACUCCCUCUCUUCUUGAUAGAAAAGGUAUGAUCGAAGAUUACUUCUUUUGCUUUCACAGUGAAUAUUUAAAGUGAUGAUUAGGGUCACAACCAAGCAUCUUAUAUAAGUAGCUCUACGUAGGAAGAUGUAAACUGUAUGACUCACCUUCAAUCUAUAGAAAUAUUUCAACAUUGAAACAUCACAUGUUCUUCAAUUGUUGACUGAACAUUCUUUUCAAAUGUAUGAAAUGCAUUUUUAAUGAUCCCCUUUUAAUAAAGGUUUAGGCUAAUUCCGAGGGUUUAUUUCUCUUCCAAGUGCCACAAAGAUGAAAACACAUGGCAUGUGUCAUGAUCUUAGUAUAGUACAAGUGUCUCAUCUAAUUUAAAUCCUAUCCUGCUAAAAACAGAAAGAUGUGACAUUAUUGUUGACAUUAAUCACUGAAAUUUGUGCACGUGUGACUGUAAUUGAUGCAUAAGUUAUUUUUGCAAGGUAUUUAUCUUUAGAAUCGUGAAUGUAAAGAGUUACAUAAGCUCAAAUAUUUAUACAAGUCAAAUAUACAGAUCAGUGAUAAUGUUUAAUUGAUGUAGGCACAUUUCCUUUCAUUGAAUCACAUGAAACUCAAUAUUUUAUAUAUAUAGUUACCGCGCGCAACAUACAGGCCUUAUAUCCUGAUACAUGAAUGCUCUUUUAACUAAGCUGGCUUUAAAUUCUAAUUUGACUAUUUUCUCAGGGCGCAUUCCCUAAUCUCCAAGAGUUAACGUUGGAUUUAUCGGAACAGAUGGAGAUAUGGCAUGGACAUUUUAAUGAUAGAGAAUUUUUCUGCAAGCUUAGAUUGCUUAAGCUUCGUCAUCUCUCCCAUGAGUCUUCAAUAUCCAUAUGUCGUUUUGUUGAGAGUUCAACCAAUUUGGAAGAGCUAGUUGUAUGUGAAUCUUAUCUAGAAGACCCAAGCAAUAAUGAGGAAGCCAUAGAAGGCACAAUUCAUGACAUGAAAGUAAUAUUACCCUUUUCAAGAUAUAUUCGACAUCUGCAAACUCUAGAUGUGUCACAUUGUGACGAGUUAUCAAAAAUGUUCAGACCGACAAUUGCUGAAAAUUUGGUGACACUCAUUAAAUUGAGGAUAAGUAAUUGUAGGAUAUUGACAGAAGUCAUUAAUGAUGAGAAAGGUGGGGAGGGGUGUAUGGUAGCCUUCAAUCAACUUAAGUCUAUGGAGCUUGAUGGGUUGAUAGGGUUGAGAAGUUUCAGCUGGAUACACUUUGAUGUUCCCGCUCUUGGAAGAUAUCAUUGUGACUAGGUGUCCCAACAUGAAGUUUUUCUCUCAAGGAUCGAUAGGGGCAUCAAAGUUAAAGAGAGUUCAAGUGUCAAAGGAAGUGUGGUUUUGGGCGGGAAAAUUCAACAUCACUAUCCAAAAUAUGUUUGAAGAAAUGGUAUGCACCAAUUACCAAAUUCCAUGCAUUUGGAUGGUUUUGACCACUAAAUGAAUAAUCGCUUUUUGCUAGCUAGAAGUUUACGCUUAACGAUGCAUUUUUUGACAGGGUACGUUUGCUGGAGUAGAGAAAAUGCUGCUGUCUGAGUUCCCAGGGCUGAGUGGAAAAUAGCAUAACAAACUUAGUCCCAUCAAGUUGUCUUGGCAAUUAAAAUCAAUGGUGGUAGAUAAAUCUCCGUUAUUUAUUAACGCUAUUCCAUCCAGAUUGAUGCUUGUCUUAGACAAUUUGGGCUAUUUGCAAGUGUGCAACUAUGAGUUGCUUGAAGAAAUAUUUGAUUUGGAAGGGCUGGAGGUUGUGGAAAGCACUCGAAUACUACCUCAACUAUGGGAAUUGAACUUGGCCAAUCUACCAAAAUUGAGGCGACUGUGGAAUAGAAAUCUUCAAGAAUCAAUGCGCUUUUAUUCUUUGGCUACUCUCAUACUUUAUAAUUGCAAUAACUUGGGACAAGCUUUUACUUCAUCAAUGGCUCAAUGCCUUGCCAGUCUUCAUCAAAUGGAAAUAAAGGAGUGUGGUCAAAUGGAAGAAGUGAUCGUAGAGGAAGAACGGCAGGGAAGUGCAGUGGAGAAGAUUACAUUCUCGAAGCUCCGGCAGAUGAAAUUGGAAUGGUUGCCCAAUUUGACUUGUUUCCUCUCGACAAAAAAUCAUACGCUGGAAUGCUCCAACUUACAAGUGCCGAGCAUUAACCAUUGCCCCAAGAUGAGAAGUUUGACUGGGCAAUCUUGGAUGGAGAAUGACCAUGGCACCCCUGCAUUUUUCACUUCCCAGGUCAGUCUUUCAAACAAAUGCAUCUUUGGCAUUUCAUUUGGAACAUGUUCUCAUAGUACUGGACAAUGCACGGUAUGAUGCAAAUUUUGUGCUUUGUGUGGGUUUAUAUACAUAAUCUUCUAAUAUUUAAUAAUAAGAUUAAAAAUAUUCUAAUCCUCAAUAAAUAUUACUAUUAUAUGUACAUCUCUAUAUUCUAUUAGAAGUGUUAAGUCGUUAUAAGUUCAUAAUUCAUAUCAUGUGCAGUACUUUAGAAUUAAUUAGUGAGGUUUUUAAAAAGGUGAUCACAACAACCAUAUAAAAACAUUAACUUUUUGCAAUUUCAAUUAUAAAGAACUAAAUAGCAAACACAAAAUAGCAUCUAAAAAUGGCAGAAAAAGUAUUAAGUAUUGCCCCUUCAUAUUUACUUGCGUGGAAGCAAAUUAGCGUCGUUCUAUUUAACAUGAAUAAAAGGGAAAAAAACUUCAUAUUUAUAAAAUCCAAUUUCCCAAAUUGCUUAACUAUUACAGCUCAUUAUACCAUAAUCAGUGAGUUGACUUUUUUAUUUCUUAAUAAUCAUCAAUACUUGAGCUAGGUCUUGAUAAUGAGAUAAAUAAAAAUAAAAAGGUCAAUAUGCAUGAAGUGGUUUGCCUUCUCCAUUCGUAAAUCAUUCUCCAUUCGCUAUACUCCAGCAACCUAUCAAAUUACGUACUUGUAUUAUAGAAUAAAUAUUAACUCUAGACUAUUAUAUUUAGUGAUAAUUAGUGUGAUAGUGCACACAAUCUAUGUUAGGCAAGAGAAAAUGUAGAUUACAUUUUCCAGAAAAAGAAAUGGCGAGAAAAAGGAAAAAAUAAAGAGAGAAAAUGACAACUGGAUAAUAAAUAGUAGCAAUUCCGUGGGCGAUUACUGACAUUGCAAGUCUUAUUUCAUAACUAAAUGACAAAAUUUAGUCGAUGUCCAAGCUAAAAUAAAAAUUUGAAAAAUUUAUCAAAUCAACAACACCACCGAAGGGAAAGUAUUAGGUGCAUUAAUUACAUAGCAUAGGAUUCAUAUUAAAUCAUCUGCAGAUCGACGCGUGUCAAUCGAACCAUCAAAAUUUUUGCUCCCCCCUCUCUUCAAAUAACGCCCCGUUACUGGAAAGCUCAACUCUGCUCUUCCUAGUGUGGCUUUUCUCUCUCGCUCUCUUUCCUCUGUGAAGGUGCAUCUCUAUACAUGAACCACACCUCGGCGUUGGCCUCCGUCGGUUGCGGUGCGCUCGCUGAACAACGGAAAAAAAAAACAUAAAAAGGAAGAAAUUAGACGAAGUCUAUUUGAUGUUUUAGCUUCUCUCUCCUUAAGAACUGUUCGCUCUGUCAUUUCGUUUCACCUUCCUCCUCCUCUUCGCGACGAGGGGGAAAAAAGAAAGUGAACCAAGUCUACACAGUCAAGUAACAAUAACUCUUCUUCCUCCUCCUUACCCCCCAUCCUCUACCUUCUUUUUUUGGGGCGAUUGAUAGGGUGAUCCAUCCAAUGGUUGAAUCGGAAGCUUCGGAAUCGCUUCUCUGAAGUAUGCCUCCUCUCUACACGCGUGCAUGUGUGGGUUUUGAGCAAUUACGCAAACUGGAGCUUGUUGCUUUUGGUGGGCCAAUGGGAUCUCCGAUGCGGAAGCGAUUUCAGCAUUGAUUCAGCUGGGGCAUUGAUUCUGGCGAAGAAAAAUUAAAAAAUCUUCUCUUCAGCCCUCCCUUCCUCCUCCUUCGUCCACAGCAGCCCAACCUCCGCCCCUCCUCCGCCGUCGCCCACGGUGGAGUUACCGGCACCUUGAUUAGGAUGACCCUCACUAUGUCUAAGCUGAGCAUGGCCGACUUCCUCUGAUUUGUCCGUCUCAUUGUUCUACAGAUCUCGAAAUUAGGCUGACCCUCACUAUGCUUGCGUUUUUUCUUAUUCUAAUACUUUUGCAUAAUUCUUUCUAUUGUUGCCUGCGAGUAGAAUGUUUAAUUAUGAGGAGUAUCUAUAUAUUUGUUUACUUUUUUAUCGUAACAGUUAUCACUAAUUAUUUAUUUACUUCUAAUGUCAUUUGCAUGUAUAAGUUGUCAUGUAAUAAUAGGUAUCCCCGCACAUUUUGAGGAUAUUUCAAAAACUUAUUGUUACACUGAAUCGAGAAUACUAAUAAAUUUGGGGAAGCAUAAAAAUAGUCAUAUGAUUUUUUGGUAGUGACAGGUUGUGAUAGCGUUAAUUUCAUUUUUGUGUCAAAUAUGCGCUGCCUGUAAUACUAAGUUGCUCCCACAUUGUUAGAUAAUUUCAAAUACUCAUCAAAAUGCUCAAUUAAGAAUAUUAAUAGACUAAGGGAAGUGUGGAAAGUCAUUUUGUUUUUUUGGUUGUGAGAAGUCCUAGUUGCGUUAACUUUAUUGUAACCAAAUGAAAAAUAUCAAUACUUUGCUUUUUAGUGGACAAUCAUAUUGUGGUCAUAACACGGUAAAAAAAGAAAAGAAAAAAAAACACAGUUGAAUUUCUCCAAACAAACGUAUUGUGGUCAUCCGCUUCUUUUUUCAGUUCUUUUUAUUUUUCUUUUAGUCUCCAACACCCGAACAAAACUCCAAAAUCCUCAAGACAAGGCAUCAAUUAAGGAUAAGAAAUUGGUUACCAUUUUUUGUGAGUGGUUGGCCCGCUAGCCCACUGCAAGAUUCUACCACAAAAGUGAAUAAAUAAUAUUUCAAGCAAAGUUAUUAAUGGUCCAAUGUAGAAUUAGUAAGUUGGCCCAACUUGCUAUUCUAUGAGAUCAUAAUAUAUGUUAAUUAUUCCAAUCAUUAUAUUGUCCGUGCCUAUUACAUAUUUAUUUUUUCUAAUACAAAAAUUUUUCUGCACAUAAUAAAGAAAAAACUUGUAAACAGUUGAAGUAAUUAUUAUUUUUAUCCGGUUCACCAUCUAAUUUGCAUGAUGCUCCUCAUUUGUGAACUUUAUUAAUUGAAGAUUCAUAAGUAAUGUUCGCCUAUUACAUAUUUAUUUUCUUUCAAUACAAAAAUUUUUCUGCACAUAAUAAAGAAAAAACUUGUAAACGAUUGAAGUUAUUAUUAUUUUUAUCCGGUUCACCAUCUAAUUUGCAUGACGCUUCUCAUUUGUGAACUUUAUUAAUUGAAGAUUCAUAAGUAAUGUUUCGCAAUUGGUAUUAGUGCUGAAUAAGUAGCGGUGCUCAUAGUAAAUAGAGGAAAUAAUUUCUAUCGCAGGAAGACACAUUUGAUGAGUGUCGGACUUGAGUUGCCAAUCAAUUGUAAGUGAAGAUGCACAAAUCUCACUUGUGCUCCCAUUCCAUGGCUUAUUGAUCCCAACCAUUGAUCUAUUUAAAAAGUUAUUUCUAGAAUUUAUUACUCAAUGCAUCAAUGAUUGAUGAUGAUUAAGGCACCAUAUGGCGAAAAAAUGGGUUAGUAUAUCUCCAUCCUUUCCAUAUAUACAUGGACAUACUUAUAUAAUCAUCUUCCAUGCCCAUGCUAUUAAAAAGCAAAUAAGCAUCAUUGUACAAGAUUUCUUAUGUCUGUACAAAUAAACGCAAUGUCCAUGCAGCUGAUUCACUUUUGCUAAUAAUUUUUUGAUUAUUCUAAAUCUACUAGAGAUGAAAAUGGGAAGUUAAUUUCUUUUAAUUGAUAAGAAAUAGAUGUAGAACCAGCUUAUACCUAUCGCUGAAGCAUCAUUAUAAUGCACCUAUCAGUGCGGCAUUGGAGCCAACAUAAGAAAGAGAGAGGAAUGACAUGUAUGCAUAUCUCGAUUGGAUUGCAAUGUGAAGCACAUGCAUCAAAGCUUCUUUGAACCAUGCUUCAGCUACAUUCAUUCCUUGAACCGAAUAAAUUUAAGAAAUUCUUACCUUAUCUAAUGUUGCAUUAUCAAAAAAUCAGUGCAAGCAACUUUGAUAAUGAUCAAUGCAAACAAAUGUGAAAGUUGGAGAAUCCAAGUAUUCAUCAUGAACUUUCCAAAAAUUAAAGGGAGAAGGUAUUGCUAGUAGUAAAUGUCAAUUGAGGCACUUAAAAUUCAAUGCUCAAUGUACUAUUGAUUAUAAAUGCAUUUAUAAUUUCAUGCUUGUUGCAAUGCAAUAUAAUUUGCCUUAGUCAUUAGUCAAUUUAAAUGAAAGCAUCAACUACUCUCUUUUUUUCACUAACAAGCUCUCGCAUACUCAUGUUUUGUGAGAGUGAGGGAAGUUUAGAAAUUCUUUCUUUGAGGUCAUAACUCAAUGUGAUCAUAUUCAUUAUGACAUUUUUCUCAAUAUGCUAGGUACAAUGUGUCCAGCUUAGGUGGAUUGUUCUCUCCCAUAUGGACAAUUUAAGCAAAAUAUGGAGUGACGGUCCUCAAGAAACUCUCACUUUUGACAAUUUACAGAAAGUGCAAGUUCACAAUUGUGGGAGCCUUGAAAGUGUGUUUCCGCAUUGGGUGGCUACAAGUCUAACCCAACUUAAGGAACUUCAAGUGGAGUCUUGUGGGAUUGAGGAAAUAGUCACUAGUGGGAAUGAGACUCCACAUUCCAAUACUACUCAAGAUCUUUUCCCAGAAUUAACCUCUCUAGUGUUACUGAUAUGCCACAACUUAAGAACUUCUGCACCAACUUGCCCACUUUGAAAUGGCCAUUCUUGAAGGAAUUGCGAGUGACUCACUGUGGUAAAGCAAACAUGAUGUCUUCUGUAGCAUCUAUGAGCAAUUGGGCUCAAAAAGAUUAUCAAUGGGGCCUUUCAGACCAAGAAGCACACUCUUUAUUUGAAAGGGUAUGAUUUCAGCUGCUCUCCCUUAGUUUCUAUUUUGUUCUUUAAAGCACUCAUUGAUCUCAUAUCCACUACAUAAUCAACCCACGUUAUAUUGCUAUAGAAAACAUGAUCUCUCUAAAUUAUUAGUUUGUUCACAACAUUAAAAUAUUUCUAAUAUCUUGAGUAUACUUUUCAUUUGUGGACACCCAUAAGAUAUUUCAUAAAUUAUAAUUACAAAAAUAAUUAUAGAUUUUUGUUGAAGGCACAAUAUAUUCCUAAUCUAGUCUAGUGGUGCUCCUUGGGGAAAUCAAUGAAAAUUUGACAUGAGGUCCACUUCAAUGUUGACACGUGUUGCACAUUUGAACUUUUCUUCUCUAUUUUGUCUUCUAAAAAAUCAAAAAAAUAAAAUAAAAAUCAAUACAAACGUUUAACAAAAAUAAGAUUAGUACCUUAAUGCACUAUUUUCUAUUGUAUUCCUUAAUUGAUCUCAUCUUAUACAUAGUCAUCCUGUUGUAUCACUAUAGACAACCCAAAAUUCCUUACCUAUGAGUUUGAAGACAAUAUAAGAUAUUUUAUUAUAUCUUAGGCACACUUUUAAGUUUAUGGACCCAUAUGUUUCAGUAAUAUCAUAUGUGCAUCCCAUUACAUAAGUUUCCGAAGAUGACUAAUUUUAGUUGACAAGAUAUUUCUAAUAAAAGAUGAAUUUGAUGAGCUUGGAGGGAUCUUGACAAGUUCACUCUAUAAACUUAACCAUACCAACUUCUAUUUGAGACUUUUAAAAGCUUGAGACUUGAAUGUAGGGCUCUUGAGAUAUAAUGAACUUUAAGAAGAUGGCCACCUUCCUUGUGAAUCAUCUUAAUAGGUUUACUUUUUACAGCACAUGAUUUAUUGUCAAAACUUUGCUGAAUUUACUUCUCUUGUUGUAUUGGCAAUUCGACAGGAUUUUCCCAACUUGGAGAAACUUUUUUUAGUCAAUAACAAUAUUCAAAUGAUACAAGAUGGAAAUUUUCCGGAUGACAUGUUUAGCGAGCUAGGAGCACUAACACUGGCAUGCUUUCAUGAUAAAAAGGCCGUCUUUCCUUCCAUAUUCCUCCUAGAGAGAUUUCAGAAUCUACAGAGCCUUGAGGUCUUCUGUAACUCCUUUGAAGAUUUAUUCCCGGACGAAGGGUUUGUUGAAGAAGGGAAACAUCCAAUGCUUGAAAAUUUAAGAGAAUUUAAAUUAAACAAGCUACGCAACUUAAAGUCUGUGUGGAGAGAAGACUCUUUAGUGUCGAAAAUUCUUUAGAGCAUCGAAACAUUAAAGGUUUGGGAUUGUCCUCAUUUGAUGACAAUAUUUCCGACCAUGACAUCCUUCCGGAAGCUGACGGGCUUAGAGGUGAAGAAUUGCGCUAGAUUGGUACAUCUAAUAAUAGCUUCAACGGUCACAAAUUUGGUGCAUUUCAAAAGGAUAACUAUAAUAGAAUGUGAAAGAAUGAAAGAAAUAGUAGCUGACGAUGGAAAUGGAAAAGGAAAAGUGAUUUCUUUUGGGAAUCUUUUGGAUUUGACACUCCAACAUCUACCGAGCUUAGAAUGCUUCUCCUCCAUUCCGAGUUGCAAUUUUACGUUCCCAUCCUUAUGAAGUAUUGGAGUAGAAGAGUGCCCGAAAAUGAAGACAUUUUCUAAGAGUAUGCUAAGCACACCACGACUAAUUUGGGUGAGACUAUUCAGAUACAAGUUGGAUGGGAACUGUGGGGAGGGUAAUGAUCUUAAUACAACCAUACAGAAGUUAUCAGCAUAAACAAACGCAUAGAAUUUGUAAGAUCCAAUUGACGUCAUUCUCUCAUCCAUUUUUAUUUUCUUUUUAUUUAUUUAUUUUUGGCAGUGCCGUAAGUUUUGAAAAAUUUUCUUCUUGUAACUUUUCUGUUAUUGAUUCCGUCAUAUCAGCAUCACCGUCAACCCUAUCGAUCGAUCUCGGCUCAUCCUUCACUAAACAGAAGGAAGCAAAGCAGGGCUCUCCUUCUCCUUCCUGACGCCAGAGGCUCUCUCCAUCUUUCUUCUUCCUCCUCGGUGGAGCAAAACUGGGGGGAACCUCUGCUGCCUUCACCGAGGACGGAGCGAAAAUGAAGCAUCAGGAAUUGCCAGGACUGCGAGACUGCGAGAAGCGAAGCUGCACUUAGCGGAGCGGAGCCAAGUAGAUUCAGUCGUCCGCUCACUUCAUCAAAGCAGAAGAAGAUCACACUCUCUCUCCGCGUUUGCAUCCGACAAAUCGUAAGUUCACGUUUCUUCCGAUUUUGGUGUCUUAUUGCGUGUGAAUUAGGUUGAAGCCGGAAGUUGGUUUCGUAGAGACCUUCCUCAAUCCUCGCCUCCUUCUUCUAUGGCUAGGGCCCUUUUCUUCAACCUAGCAAUUUUAUUGCCCCUAAAUCCACAUCUUCUGUGCUUUCCUCGCGAGCAUUGGCGAGAGAAACGCGUCUGCGUAGGACAUCUCUGCAUGUUUGAGCUCCCAUCGAUGGAGAUGAUAUAGGGAGAGAUAUCUCUCGAGCAUCAUGAAACUUGAAAAUAUUCAGAGAGAAUUCCAUGCCUUGUCAAAAAUAUGAGGGGGUCACUUUUACGCCUUGUUCUCAAUGUACUCCAGACUGCUCAUCCUCAUGAGAAUUUCUUGUGGUUUGACGUGUCUUUGUUUCUGCUUGCGUAACUCUCUUUCGCAUUGUUCUUUUCAAAUUCUAGAAUAAAUUUUAACAAGCCCUUUUACUUUGUCUUGAUUGGUUACGAGAUGCUGCAACGAUAAAAUUUGUUUCCAAUUUAUGCUAAAUAUUUUCAUAGCAAGUCAAACUGAUGAAGUGUGCUUAAAUUGCCUCUUCACAGAACUGUCCCUCUCGGUGCUUUGCUUGCCAUCCUCUUGUGGUCCAAUCCAGGUACAGUUGAGGCGCCGUCGUUGUCUCGCGUUUCUUUUAUGUAGAGCAAUAACAUGGUUUUAGCUUCAGUUUUCAUUCGGUUCCUUUCAAAUUUAAUUCGUACCUAUUCUGCUUCUGCAUUCUGCAUGUCUGGUCAAUGGGAGGGAACUCCCGGUGUUCAUCUUUUUUGUUGGGGGAAUGGUUAUUGGAAAAAGCGAAGGGUGUCUUCGAGCUUCUACCAUUGAGAAGGAUAAGGUUGUGUUUUUAGAUGUGCAUCCAUUACACAAGGUUUUCGCGGCUUGCGGUACUUGUUAUGAUAAGCUUUUGGAUAGUGGAUGCAUCUAGAGUUAGGUGGUCCUAUUGAUCAAUCGUUCGCCCUUUUUGAAGUCGAUGCAACUAGGAUGGUCAUGUAAGGAGUGUGCUUCGUUUCAUUGGCUAUAAAAGAAGAUGUCAAUGCGAGUAGAACAAUGUCGACAGUCUUUUUGACGCCUUGUUCUCCAUAAACUCCGGACUGCUCAUCAUCAUGAGAAUUUGGAGGGGUGACUUGCGGUUUAACAUAUCUUGUUUCUACAUUCCUAACUCUCUUUCUGUCUUUCUCUUCAAAUUCUAGAACAGUUUCUAAGAAGCUCUUGUUUUUAUCUUGAUUGAUUACUAAUGAUGUGGGGGAUACUUUUGACUUCUGAUCUAUGCUGAAUAUUUUCAUGGCAAGUGAAAUUUAAGUUGCCGUUUUUCAAGUACUAGGAGGACCAAACAGUUAGCGGAUUAAGGCAUCCUGAGCUGGUUUUUUUAUGGUCCCACUCACCCAAGGCCUCUCACUGUUUUUAAAUCGGCUGAUAACUUUCCCAAUGGAGUACCCUUUUUCGAGGUGGUGAUGAGGCCCUCUUAUGUUAAGCAUGGCUUGGUAUGAUCCCACGCUUAUUGACUCAGACUGGCAAUGUCCGAAAAUCAAAUAUAUCGAUGCUUUUUAGAUCUUUGCUUAUAAUCUAGUGUAUUUCCAAGUUUACUUCAUUGUAUAGUAUACCACACGAUACAUUAUUUCCUUGAAGUGUCUGCAUUUCCAAGUUUACUUCAUUGUGUAGUAUACCACAUGAUACAUUAUUUCCUUGAAGUGUCCGUGGGUGGUUGGAGGUUCGAAAAGAUAACAAUCGUCUUCUUCUUCUUGUUGGAUAGAUGUUGUUGGAAAAGCAAUUGCUGAGGCGUCUUAAGAAUAGAAUCCAAGUUCUCUAAUAUGGAGCAAUCGGACAAUGUUAUUCAAUGCUGUAAAUUUAGAAUAUAUAUGUAAAUCACACCAGGAGACUAGUUGAUAUGGACAAGCAAAUUGCAAAGAAUUGUUGCUGCCUCCAUGACUAAAGAGAAAGACCUGAUAGAUAAGGGGAUGGCUUGUUAUGAUUCUGAAAUUUCAUUGUAGAUCUAAUGAUUGAUAAUUUUGUUUUCAAAUGGGAGAUACUAUUGUACUUCGUUAUAUUAAUCAAAUUUAGGGGGGAAAAGAUGAUUUUACUUUGUCAAAUUGAACCAACGGUUUGAUAAAAACCUUAUUUGAGCUGCACUUGAAAGAAUCAAAUAACUUAGGUUUAAAUUUUCAAGUCUAUCGAUGAUCCAGUGAUCAAUGUAUUUGCUUUUUCCCCUGUGAUUGUGAUUCGUGUGUCUGAAAUUGAUAUGUUUUAAAUAUAUAUAGGAUCUGGAAGGUUUCUUCUGAAUGUAUACCCUUUUGCAUUCUCGGAGCAUAGAUUUGACCUUGACUUUGGAUUGAUGGCUUUCGUUAUAUGGUUAUUGUCUAUUAAACUCCUGAAACUAGCAAGUAAUGCCUUAAACUCACGACAUGUACGAUUUGAUUCUCUCAUUAGGGUAUGCUUAUGUCUUGGUCUGUUCUUCACUAUAUGUUGGUUUUUCAACCAUGUAGAUGGGCAGUGUGCUCCUGUUCAAUCCAUCGCGUGACAUAUUCAGGACAUUAAGCAAAUUGCCACUCUCGGGUAUUUGGAUAGGUCAUGGAUGGUGAAGGUAAGGAGUUGUAGAUGAGAAUUUUUUUUUUUUUUUUUUUUUUUUUGGGGUGGGUGGGGGGCAGGGGUUUCUUUUUCACUGGUUGGCCCACAUUUGGAAGAGAAAGUCAUCUGUAUGUAGAAACUCAUUGAUAGGGAUGAUUUUGUGUUCAGAGUCUAUACAUAUUUACUAGUGCUGGUUAGGACUUGACUUACAUUGAUUGAGAUGAAAUCUGGAAUUGUCACUUUUGCUGGUCCAAAGGAAUUCAGUAUUCCAAAUAAUAACCCCUUUAUAUAGUCUUGAGGAAUCAAGGAAGGGUACUUCUAUGCCGAUUGGGUUUUAUGAAGUUGAUCAUAAUCCAUAUGCACACUCAUUAAUGCCACAUUCCAAAUCUGAAUAAACCGAAAAGCAUGUGCUUCAAGAUGUCCUUUUUGGUUUAUGCAUUCUUGUUAUGUUGUUCUUCGUUUUGAAUUUGAAAUCAGGACUCAUAGGCUUAUUAAGAUUAUGGGUUUUAUUUUUUCCACAGGGAAUACCAAAAAGGUCCAAGAGGACGCUUUUGAGAGAAUGGUGCAAUUAUUUGGCCUGUGGAAUUGGAAAAAAUGUGAUGAGAUGAUUUGGCUAGCAACGGGUUGGAAUGAAUUUGCAGAGCAUUACUCUAUCUAUGAGGGCCAAUUUUUGGUCUUCUAAUCUGAAGGGGACUCCAUUUUCCAUGUCACCAUAAUUGAUGAAAUAAUGUCCGAGAUAGAAUAUCCAUCAAUCAAUGUCAAUGUGAGGAACCGAGCCUCAGCAAUUGUGGAAUUGUCUUGCUGAAAGUGGAAGAUGCCUUCGAUUGCUGUGAUGUUUCAGUCAAGCUUGAAGUCUAGGGAGAUGAAUUGCAUUCAGCCAAGUGUCCUCAGUCUUGUAUGGAAAUGGAAUUUGUUCAGGUUUGCAAAGUUCAUGGCGGUUCCUAUGCAUAUUCAUCAGUAGAGUUUGGGGAGGGACAGAAAUUCGAACUGCUCAUCACAAGAUUUUCCAGGUGUGAAUCUUAAUUUAUAAGCUAAUUCUCCCCUUGACUGUGUUGUUCUUGUGUUUGAUUCAAAUACUGUACAGGAGCUGUCCAUGUCGUUAGGCUAAGAGAAACUGCACUAGAGUUAAUGCUACGAGAAACUGUGUUAGAGCUAAUUCAUUUUCUUAGUGUUUCUCUGUCUCUAGAUCUCCCCUGUGUGCAUAUGUAUGUGUUGGGACUAAAUGUGCCGGCGAUUGCCGUGAUGUUUUGGUUGAGCUUGAAAUCUUGGGGGAUGAACUGCAUUCAGCCAAGUGUCCUUAGCUUUGUAUGCCAAUGAAACUUGAUCAGGUUUGCAAAGUUCAUCACAGUUCCCAUGCACAUUCGUUACCAGAAAGUUUGGGGAGGGACAGAAGUUCAAAUUGCUCAUCAUGAGAUUUUCCGGGUGUGAAUCUGAAUAUAUUAGUAAAUUCUGCCCUCGAUGUGUUGUUCUUGUGUUUGAUUCGAAUUCCAUCAGGAACUCUCCACAUUGUUAGGCUAAGAGAAAUUGUGUUGAAGCUAAUUCACUCUCGUAGUGUUUCUCUGUCUAUAGUUCUCCCGUGAAUAUGCAUGUGUUAGGGGAUCUCAUAAAUAAUGGAAACAAGCUAAGAAUCGUAUUGGUGUGCAUAUAGGCCUUGGGAAGCUAGACCAUUAGUAAGACUCAGAUUGAUUCAUUUAGGGUUGCUGGGUUGGCAGAUACGAGUUUUACAUAACAAGAAUAAGAUACAAAAGCAAAAGCUUUCUUCAUGUUCUGUUUGUGACUACUGCAGGUAAGCUGAAAAAGUGGCGCUUAUGCAGAGCUCUCGAACCAGCCAGCAAAUUUAUACUCGAUUAUCCUUUCUCUGAAAUUGCGGUGAGGUUAAUACAUCUGAAGAAAAACAAUGUGGUAAGAUCCUUGUAAUAAUGACGACUCUUGGAUUUAAAUCACAUAAAGCAACCUCAUACUGUCUUCCUCAGAAAUCCUUGGUUGUUUUCUUCUUUGUAAUGACAAAAUUGCGCAAUUUUUACUUGAGCAGAGAGUUCCUGGUUCAUUCCCAAAGACACACGUUAAGAAAAGCCUGCAGACCAUGGCUCUCAUAUUUCAAGAUAAAUCAUGGCCGUUGAAGCUCAUCAGCCACGAGCAUUAUGGAAAGUCAUCUGCCUGCACGAGAGAAACUUCUCUGAAGGUGGAAGAUGUGUGUGUGUGUUCAAGCUUUAUUGAAAGGGACAAAUAUCGGGUUCAGAGUAUCCAUCUUCAGAACCACUGAUAAGACUUGGGUGUAUAAUAAUACCAUGCAAUACGAUAAAGCAAAGGAAGCAUCGCCUUAGCUCACUUUUGGUGAGAAUAGAACUUACAGAAUUGCUAGGCUGAAUUUUGCUUCCGGUUCAGCAAAAUGGAUGAAAGCAUGAGUUUUGUUCCAAUGGAUGGAAUGGUCUUGAACGUGUACGAUACCUUUCCUUGAUCCUGGACUUAGUGAUCACCAUGUGGGCAAGAGUCGUGAGUUGGAGGGAGCUGAUAACUAAUCUGUAACUUCCAUUUCUAGAGAUGAUCUUUCAAAUUUGGUGCUUCUUUGAUGUUUCCGGUGGCUCAACCUGACCUUUGAAAUUGUCAAUGGUAGUAACGAUAAUUUUACAAGCUCCGGUGAACUUACAUCAGAUUCUUUUCGUCGUCUCUUUUCGAUUUUCUGAAGAUUUCGUGAUCAGUCUUUUCAUAUGUAAGUUUGUUAGUUUCUUCUCAUGUGAAGGGCUUUCAGAAUUUUUUUUAUUUCUAUUUUUUCAUAUAAACUGCAUGUUGAUAUGCAUGACAAAGCAAAUAUGCUGGCAUCUUUGCGUCACUGCAGCACGACUCUUCCGGAGGCUCUCUCUCGACACAGCAUCCGAGCCUCCAAUAGUGGCUUUUCGUCUUAGAAUCGGCAACAGCUUGGUGCUUUCGGACUCGCUCUCGCUGCCAGAUAAAGCUCUUCAAUUCUCUCUCUCUCUCUCUUCCUUGCAAGAGCUCAAUACCUCCUCCAAAGUCCAAAGUGCAACCGACGGCAAUGGAAAUUCGGGAGACGACAAGAGGAUGGGGGAAAACAAAAGCGAAACAUCCUGGAGAUGGGACGUCCCGGCAAUUGUGACUGUUGAUCAAGGAAACUACUCCGUGGUCAAGUUUCGCUGUCGUGGCUGCAAGGCGACUGGUAUCUUCGAAUCGGUAGCCACACUCUUUGUGCUUCCGUCGGUGCUGGAAGCAACAAUCGUCAGAGAACUCAAUCUCGAUGAAUCGUUGGUGGGUGCUCCAUUAACGGUUGGACUCUCUCCAGAUUUUCUCCGACUAAAUUUUUUUUGCAUCUUCUCUCUCUCUGGCUCUGGAUUCCCCUGAUUCAUCUCCACCAAUCCAGAUCAUCCCCACGGUGAAGCACACCAUCAGAUUCCAUAUUCGAGUCAUGGCCACUCUGAUUCGAGUCGUCGCUUUUCCUGUCCUUACCCAUGUCUGUCGCUGGGCCAUCUCAGGCUCACGCGGCCAUCACCGCCGAACCAUCAUCAGGGCCGUUUCAUGUCCGAUUUAAGUUCCAAGUCAAAUUCCGAUUCACUCCAUAAUACGUUCUGUUGACUCUUGCUUCGUUCUGUUCCACUCCCACUUCAUCGCCGUCUUUCAAUUCCAUCGUUUCGCCCAUCUAUGCCGCGUGCAAAGGGGAUGCUGAGUGGUGUGUUCACUGUUUACAAGAGCUUUAUCUGAUUGCCAAGGCUGAGGUUGGAUGGAUGAUCAUCUGGAUACGAUCCACCGAUUCGAAGGAUGAGAUUCUUCGGGUUUAGCUCUCGGCUCCCCCGCCGGUCCGGCCUCGCUUCAUCAACCACAACAGCCGAGGCCAAUCUGGGUAGUCAUCAUCAUCCGAGACGAUAUGCCAAGCGUGAAGAUUGGCGACGGUGAGCACGAAGAGAAAACAACGAAGAACAAAAAGGAGCGAAGCAGCGGAUGGAGAUGAUUUGGAUUUUGCGUGGGGAUUGUGGGGAAAACGGGACAAACGAGGUGAAGCCGAUGGUGGUUCUUUGGAUGAGAAGGAAAUAAAGUGUUGAAAAAAAAGAAAAAAAAAAAAGAGACGAAGGGAAAAAAUAGAGUGCCCACGAGAAAUCGAUCAAAAGGAAGACUUGCAGAAGAGAUGUAAUUCGUCAUUCCAUCGAGCACCUUCCUUGCAAACUCGAUCCCUCCUCCACAGUGCAACCAACGGCAAUGGAUCUUUGGAAGACGGCGAGAAAGAAUAGGAUAAAAACGAAUGGAAACAGAUAUCAACAGACGAAGUCAAAGCAUGUCGAAAUUAAUUCUAGAGUCAAAUCGAAGAUGAAAUGACAUGGUGAUAGGAACGACCGUCGAUCUGACAUAUAUUAUCAUCGCCUGAAUGUCAGCAAGGAACGGGCUAUCCAUGGAUAUUUCUUAUGGUGCGAUCUUCGUUCCUCCGUCUGUUGUUACAGAAUCGUUUCACUUUCUCUGUCUCUCUAAGCGCAAUUCAACGAACACCUUCUGCUCAGAGGACGCAGCACAUUCAAUGACCAGGAAACUCCGUGUGUCAAGUUCUUCGCCAUGCAUCGUUUUCUCUACGUCCAUCUUCAUUCUUCACCAAGUCUUCCUCCAUCAGGGUCGUUUCCUAUCCGAUUGAACUUCCGAGCCCAGUUUCGAUUCAUUCUAGAAUACGUUUUGUCGAUUCUUGCUUCGUUCUCUUCUCUCCCACUUCAUCGCCGCCUUUCGGAUUACAAAUGCAGUCGCUCGCGUCCUUCGUUUCGCCCGUCUAGGCCGCGCACAAAGGGGAUGUCGGGCUGGUGUAUAGGAUCCACUGAUUUGAAGGAUGAGAUUCUUCGGGUUCACUAGCGGCCCUCCUGCCGGUCCGAGAAGCCCGUUGAAAGGAAGACUUGCACAAAAGAUGGAAUUCCUUGAGAGGAAGAUUCAUCCCACAACUGAGCCAUCAUUUUCAUUUUCUUUUCCUUAGAAAAAGGCAUCAAAAACUCCAAACGACGCCAUUACCGCGUCUCUUCGCUUCACAUACCUUUGUCGGAUCUCUCCCUCCAUCUCGAUGCACUCCCUCGCUCAGUGAAUUCCGAGUCGCUCCACCAUCACCCUCACCGUCUACUGCUGCCUUGAAACCGAGUUGCACUCACCUAUUUCCAGUGCGAGCCUCGUGAUUGAUUCCGUCCCUCGCCGUCUUUAGAAACUUUCGGUGAUAAUUUUUUUUUUCCUUCUUCCGGUUUAAAUCGCGUUUUCGUAUUGUGGAUUCUUACGUGUUUUGACAGAGGCUUCAAUCUGGUGGCCUCGAGCAAUGUUUAAUGCUCGUCAUUUUGCUCAUCAAUGGAGUUCGUGUCAGAUUUUUUUUUUUCCUUUUUUCCUUGUUUCCAAUCGUGAAUCCGAGACCACUUGGAAACGAGCGAAGAUUGAACUGAAAACGUCGUGAGAAAUUGCCACAGCGAACAAGAGUUGUGCAGAGUUAAGCUCGGUCAAACAAUGGUUCCGUUUUCCUCUGUUUUUUGGCAUCCUAUCCUAUAGUUACUUCUGGAUUUAGUUGUGGUGCAAGGGUGACUUACUAGCCAUUCCUGAUCAGUCCUUCGGUUAAUGCUUUUCUCUAAAUCUCGACUUGAGGAAACCUCGGAACAUAAGUUUUUGCACUUCCUCAAAUAAUUUCAGUAGUUUGUCUCAAUAUUUUCCGUGCUCAGCUAGCUUCACAUUCUAUAUGGAAUCCAUCUACAAUGUAAUAAUCUCUUCUACUAUAUGUGAGAAUACCCUAGAGUUGUGUAAUGCGGUCGAUGGUACGAAAAGUGCUAGGUAUAAACAAUCGGUCUACCAACUUGGUGUGCAAAUGAGAUUUUUCCCAUCAUGUAGUCUUUUUGUACAAUCAAGUUACUAAACUUUGAUUUCAAUUGCCUGAUGCACUAACAUUAUUUUUCCCCCUAUCCAAUCAAUGCAUUAUGAAGACUUUUCAAACAAUUUUUCUACGCAUUAUUGACGUGGUGUCUUACAUAUCUGAUUGGAAAUGCUAUUACAACGACAUGAUGCCAUAUGGGUCUCAAUUAAGAAAAAAGCCAAAAACAAAAAGUUUAAAAAAAGAGAGGGUUACGUGGCCCUUGUGUUACGAGGGGAGGUUCUCAAGGCGUAAGCCGAUCAAGAGGAAGCUAAAGUGAUCAUAAGUAUCUAAAUCCUUUUUUAUCCCCAUUAGAUUUUUAAAGAUUUCUUUAAUUGAGUCCAUAAUUACUAUUUUCAUUUCAAUAAGUGAUUUUAGAGUCAUGAAAAAUCUAGUUGCUAGAAGCAAGCCAAACCAACACAAUGGUAAUUUCGUCACAUAUUUUUACCAACACAAUCGUAAUUUCAUCACAUAUUUUUACGCUCAAGGGCAUUGGUUUAUUUACUAAAAUAAUCAUUACUUAUUGAAGUUUGCCUCCACUAAGAAAAAUCUCUAGAUGCAUCCAUGGAUCAACCAUAAUUUGGUCGGGUUUCGAUUAAGUUACAAUUUCUGAAGUUCAUUCCGCAAUUGAAAUGAGAAUUUAAUGAUUGAUUGCAAAAAUGCGCUAUAUAAUUCAGUCAUCACAAUUGAUUUACCCUAAAUAAGUAGGUCUUAUAUUUUGAAGGUCAGUCUUAGUGCGUUUAAUAUUGUUCUUUAAGUAAGUAAUAGUAAUAUUUGUGUUCUUUUGGAUAUAUAACGCAAUUCCAACACAAGUCCACACUUUAACUUCUGGCCUAGCCUCAUCCGAUCAAACUUUCGCAAAAUUCCCAUCAAUCAAUCUCCUUUUCCUCUUCAACCGAGAGGCCAUUCGUAGCCACAAUCACCGCCUUCUCCCCAUCUUCAGUUGAAUGAAAACCUGCUGAAUGAGCGUCAUGCGAUCUUUUGCGGCCAUUUUGGCUCAGUCUUUGAAAGUUGAGCUGAAAACUUUUAGGGAAUAAAUAUCUGAAAUCAUUUGAUAUAGGACGACACACUCUGCUUCUGCUUUGGAAUCGUAGGUUAGUGUUAGUUUUUGAAUUUGUAUGUCAGAGAGAUGAGCUAGUCACGUAUCCAUCUUCAACUGUUGAAGUUUCUGCUGUAGGCAAAGGUGAAAUCAAGACUUGAUUAUGUGCAAGUGUUCUGCCUGGGUUUUCUCAUGUGAAAUCUAGGGAAACCAAACAACCUCUAAGCUGUGAUUUCUCCUAUUAUAGGUCUAGGAGAAAAUAGAAGAAAUGAUAGCGUAAAAUAUAUAUAUUUUUUCCUUUCGGGCGUUCCGAGAAAUUACUCAGAAGAGCUCUAUCUUUUGACCGGUGGUAAAAAAUCUGCCGUUUUAACCUGUGCGCAAUCCCAGAUUUUUAACUAGUACCAAUAUACAGGAUGUGGUGGCUUCUCAAAGGUGUUGUAGCACUUCUUUGUGUUCUCAUUUUGACAUCUAUCAAGCUAAAGUAGAAUGUGAUGAAUGGAUAUUCACUAGCGUAUCUACAGUUUUCUUUUUCUUUCUUUCUUUCUUUCUAUAACAUUUCAAACUCAUUCGUUUAUGAUUGUUUUCUGCAAUUAUGUUUGUCUCCCAGUUUCUGAUUAAUGUCUCUUUUUAUUUUAAAUGGACUGCUGUGAACGGACUCUUUUUGUUUUCUCUUCCUAUUUUGGCUGGAUCGAAAAGUCUUCUACUGUGUUGAUACAGCUGUAGUGUCGCAUGCUCCAAUAUUUUCGGACUUGCUGAACGGUAGUUCUUCAAUUUAUAGCGUCACCCCACUUCUUGCAUUGUAUCAAAUUAGGUGCUUUGAUGGUGGGUAUCUACUAUUCAUAACUGUCAAUUUAGUAAACAUCAAUUUUGUCACAAGAUGCGUACUAUGUAUGCUAGUGCUUCAUUCUCUCUUUCUUCGGUUCUAGUAGGUAUGGGUGGCUGCUACUAUUGGUGCCUUUUACUUUGCAUAAACAAAAGGGAUACACGCUUACUUACUUCGAUUAACUCCCACCUGAAGUAUCCUUCUCCCUCCACACUCCGACCUCGUUCUUUGUUUAUCUUCCUAUUUAUACCAGUUUCUCAAUUAAGAGUAUUUGAAACUAAGCAAGAAUAGACUUGUGGUGACUCUUGAUGGUGAUAUUUUGUCUAAUCCAUGUCGUACCACAUCAUUAGUACGCUUAGUACUUCGUCAUGAAGCAACCGAAAACAGCAUAUAAAAGGGACAUCCUUAUUAAAGAAGGAACCACAAGGACACUUCAAGGCCAGUAUCGCUAGUGCCAGCACAGUAGAAGGAAGAGAACUAUAGAAGGUAUAUCUAGGAAAUGUUCCAAUAUUCAAUGAGGUAAACCCAACAUAGCUAAGAAGUUCACCUAGACUGCAAACCUAGAACAUCUAAAAAGCAAUGAAUGAUGUACGUAAUCUAGCCUUUGUAGUAUGUAGCGUUCAGCAGGAAAGCUAUGUCUAGAAAUGAGAAGCCCGUAGAAAACUACUUUAAUGAACAUGCCUCAGAUGGACAGCAAAGCUGAAUGAUUGCUUAGUUGAGCAGAACAUGCCUAUGUGAUCUAAUAAAUUGCACAAUACCAUGUUAGGAGGGUAAAGAACCCAUGCAUGAACAGAAGUUAUAUGCCCUAUACACUUAAAACAUUUAGUGGACCGGUGAACCUCCCCGUUUGUCAUGAUUCUGAUCUUUUUUUCUUUUUUUUAAUAUGAUCUGCGUGUGGAAUGAGCUACGAAACAAUUCUUGUUCAAUUGAUCUUAUUGAUGAAUUAUCCGAUACUUCGGUUUGGCAGCAAUCCUGAUGCAAAAUCCUGCUGCAAUAUCAUCACCAUUUAAAAGAAAGGAAAAUGAUAUAAACAUAAUGGAUUGAAUCUAGCAUCAAUCGAAAGUCAAUCAACAAAUGUCCAAUUCCAUGACCUCAAUUUCACCUCAGAAGCAGCUAAGAAAACUUACGGGAAGAGGAGGGAGGAGCUAUGCGGUGAAAAGAGGAGGAACAGCUUGCUGUAGGAACUACAGUGGCAUUGCCGUGGUGGUACUCAAUCCCCAGGUACAUUGGAGGUCGCACUUCCACCCUGUUCUUUGCUUCAUUUUUCUUUCAAUUUAUAUCAGUUUCUCAAGUAAGAGUAUUUGACACUGAGCAAGAACAGACCUGUGAGCAUGAACAGAAUGAUAGCCCAUGGGGUGGUCACUCUUGCUGGCGAUAUUUGUAUAAUCCACGUCAUACCUACAUUGUUAGUACACUCAUUACUUCCUCAUGAAGCAGUCAAAAAGCUACAUAUGAAAGAGACUUCCUUAAAAUAUAAAAGAAACCACAAGGGCACUUUGAGGCCGGUAUCAUUAUGCCUGCAAAGCAAAAGGAAGAGAAUUAUGGAGGAUAUAUCUAGGAAAUGCUGCAAUAUUAGAUGAGGUAAACCCAACGUGGCUAAGAACUCACCCAAACUGCAAACCUAGAAAAUCUGAGAAGCCAUGGAGGAUACAUAACCAAGCCUCCGUAAUAUGUAGCGUUCAGCAGGAAAGCUACGCCUAGAAAUGAGAGAAUUUGCUUUGAGGAUUGGAAGCACAUAGAAAAGUGCUUUUCCAGAUGUGCCUCGGAUGGACAUCAAGUUGAAUGAUUAGCUUAGUUGAACACCCCUCUGUGAUUUGAUUCCAAUCAAACUAGUCAAAACACAUUAAUAACUUCCACAAUGCAAUGUUAGGAGGGUAAAGAACUCAUGCAUGCACAGGAGAUAGAUGUUCAAUGCAUACAUUUAAAACGUUUAGUGGACCUUGUGAACCACCCCGUUUGUCAUGAUUUUGAUCUGACUACAUCAGCAAUCGAACACACAUUAACAUAUAAGUAAACAGGAUUACAUGAUACAACCUCUUGGUUGAAGUGAUUCAUGUAGAACCAAAACAUACCCUCCAAGUUCUCAGUCUGUUCCUGUUUGUAAUGCCUAGCAUGGCAAUCAUGAAAAUGGUGACUACAUUCCCACCAAACACCACAAUUGCGGACAGCGUUAAGGAGAAGCCAAUCCAAGAAUAGUGAAACUGCCAUACUACUCCAUUUGAACCAGAAAAGACAAGGUAUCAAAUUUAAAGGAUAUAUAUUACUAAAGCAAUCGAAAAAUCUAUUUCCAUCCUACACUUGAAAAGCCACAAACGGAGCUGCUCAAUCAAAAUCCCCUAAAACAACAGAUGCUCCAUUAACUAGUUAACGAACGAAUGAAACUACUUAAACAUUAAUCAUCAUAUUACUUAUUUCCAUAGAGAAUGGGCCAUAGGGACGAGAGAGAAGUGUGCAGUGAAAGCUUGUUUAAGUGGAGUCCUGUGAUCAUUCUUUUUCUCUACAGUUGUAAUGGAACUUCGCACUUGUGGAUAUAUAUUAAAACCAGUAAGUGUGAGAGAUAGCUCGAUGAUCACCGAGUUGAAAUAAAAGGCCUUAACCAAAAAUUUGAAAGGUGAGAGCAUCACGUGAUCCGUUCUAAAUUUGGCAUCAAAAGUCAUUGCAUCUGACACAUAUCUAAAGAUACAGAAAUUACAUGCCGAGAAAAGAUUCAUUGAUGAAAAUAUGUAGAUAGAAGCCCCGAUCAAGACAAUGGCAAAAGAUCAGAAACACCACAAGCGCAAGGCGAAAGUGAUUUGUCAAAACCACUAUGGUUUGCGAGUAAAGCGAUCGGAAUGAGCAACAGAACAAUUCUCAUUCAACCGAUCUCACCGGAAGAGUUUUCCGAUACUCCGAUUUGGCAACAACCCCAAUGCGGAAACCUGCUGCGAUAUCAUCACCAAUUAAAAGAUGCAAAGGAAAAAAAAAUGAUAUCAAUAUAACGGACUGAAUCUAGCCAUCAUCGAAAUUCAAUCAAAAAACGUCAAAUUCCAAGAUCUCAAUUUCGCCUCAGAAGCAACUAAAAAAACCUACGGGAAGGGGAAGGGGCAGGAGCCGCAUGGUGUAAAAAGGAGGAACGGCCCACCGUAGGGACUACGGUGGUGAUGCCGUGGUGGCUCUCAAUCCUCGGAUACAUCGGAGAUCAGAUAUCCCAACGACGGUGAUGGCUUGGUGUGAAACGGAGGAGAGGAAGAAAUGGAGGAGUUUCCAAGAAGUGCAACAGAAGGGACCGGAAAACAUGAAAUUGAAAAGGAAAAAAGUAAUCCUGAUUCAUUUGGGAAUUUUUUAAAUUUUUUUUUACCCAAUAACAAAAUUUCCUCAAUUUAAAUCGCUAGAAAAUGCCGAUUGUAGUGAACAUUUGUCCGGUUGACGAGUUUAAAUUCUUAUUUAAAAUGAAAUCCAUUUUAAACUCAUUGUUAGAAAAAAAAAAUUAUCUCAUUUUAGAUUUUUAUUUGAAAUUUUUCUUAAAUUAUGUAAUGGCUAUUUUAGCGAUAAAUAAGUCCUCAAACAUGAAAAUGAAAAGGGUGAGGGGGUUCUGGUGGUGGUCCCCAAUAUGCUGAUGUUAGGAAGCUUGACAAUAUAAAAAUGCAGGAGCUGGACUUCAAAGAUUUUCAUAAAGGUUUGUUGGGCGAAAAUUAUUCAUCUUAUUGUCUAUCAACAUGCGGUGAAAACCUUUACCAAAAAAAAAAAAAAAAACAUGCGGUGAAAAUCUCCGUACUUUUUUUUUUCUUGAUUUUAAGCUUCCCUGGCAAUGGAGGAGCCGGUUGCACAAAGACUCGUGGACCUCGACUUGGAAAAGCUUUUGGACUAUUAUCAAAGAAAAAAUUGUUGGAUGAUGAUUAUUGACCUUUCAUUAUUUCCAUUUUGAAGAGUUUUGAUAUUCUAUAUGCUUAUUUAUCCUAUAUUCUUCUUCUUUACAAACGAAAUUGUCAGCAUGAAAUGACGAUUCAUUACAAAAGAUAUUUACCUGUAAUAAUUCUUUCUUUUAAUCAAUAUGAGAACUAAUAAGAUCCAUCCGUGUGAUCUCAAAUCCAACAAGAUUCCUUUUUUUUUUUUUGGGCACAUCAUCUCCAUCAAAAUUGAUGAGAUUUUAUUACUCAUUGUUAAGUUGCAAAGGUGGUAAUUUAACAUGUGUACAGCGGAGAGAUUAUUGUUUACUAAUUUAUUCGUGUAAUCUCCCACAUUUAAGUUUAUUAACCAAAUCGAUCCAUUACGAAAUAUGCAUGUUGGACUAGGUUGGGCUUUUUGAGGAUAACUUAUUUCCUAAAUCUCUCCAUUUGACAUCAAACCUAGUGAAAGGGCGUAAAAGGACAGAUAGAGCAUCCAUGCCUAUAAUCAAAUCCAGUGAACACGAAUCUAGCAACCUAAUGAGUCCAUCCAUUAUUUGUGUAAAGUUAAGACAUUGUAAGGAGAGGCCCGAGUUAUAUAUUGAAAAAGUAUCAACGUCAAGAAUGUGAAAAAUCCUCGAAGCUCAUUUCAUUAUAGUUCAAAGUAUCGAAACUCCAUACAACUACGGAAAUUUAUUAUAGGAAAAAAAAUACUCGGCAUUUCUAUUGGGCUUCAACUUGUCUGACAAAGCCCAGGCUGUCGGAGGGCCCGAAUAUAUACCAAGCCUAUUUUUCUGCCCAAGGCGUAGUUUCGAAUCUCGGUCCCAGCCCAAGCACGAAACUGAUCCAUACGGUCUAGCCCUCAACAUAAGGUAAGUUGAGGUCGUUCGUAAAGCAUGCUCGUUUGCGGGCGUGAAUUGACAAUGCAAUCCGAAGGAGAAAUUGGUCCAAAAGCGAGACUUGCCCUACUUGAUAAGCAAGCUUCGCACCCCCUAUAAUUACAUAAGUAUCGUUGCAGAGGAAUGGUGCCUUAACUUUAACACAUUUUGGCUCUCUUUCUCAUUUCACACCCCUAUAAAUACACUUAUUCUUUUCAAUAAAAAAAAAGAUUAUACUUACUUAACCUCUCUAUCUUGCAAUUAUUGCAUAUUAGUGAUCACUUCAUGUUAACAUUGCCAUUUUUUUUUCUUUUUUAUUUGUUAAAAAAGAUUCAAAUUGCAAAAUACACUUACUCUUUACUAUAAUAAAUUAAGCUUCCUAAACCCCCACGAUUGUAAUAGUUGAUUGGGGUGUCAGGGAUCUCCGAUUUGAGAAUUAGAGAUUGCUUGUUUGAAUCACAAAUACUGUAUGCAAGUUAUUCUGAGUUAUAGCCACCUAUACAGGUCAUAGCUUUAAGCUCAACCUAUUCAACUUGUAGUAUUUUUGUAAUGGGCUUUAAGUAGAAGAGUCUCCCUGCCCACGCCCAUGGAUUAUUAAAAAAAUAAAAAUAAAAACAUACUCUAGGAGAAUACUAAUAUAAUAUAGCAAUUUUUUUAUACGCUCUUCUUCCUCAUAAACUAGGUAAUCAACUUGGUUACAAGGAGAACGUCCCUUGGGACUUAAUAAAUCAUAUAUAUAUACACACACUUAUUUAUUUUCAUAUACAUACUUAUUUAUUUUCGAUUAGAUAUCAGUCAUCACCUUUUUGAAUAGGCAUAUUAAAUAUAUGAAUUUAUGAGCAAUUUGACAUGGUGUUCCAAUAAAUGAGGUUGGCAAGAAAAUUAAGCAACUUCAAGUAUACCUUUUGAACUGAGCCUUUUUUUUUUCACUUAUAGCGAUCAUUAUGAGAGCUUCCUAUCAAUAGAUCCAUGAAGAUUUGAAAGAUAAUACAUGGAAAGUCAAGACUAAUUUUCAAUUAAUGGUCAACAUUAAUUAGAUAAGGGGGUCUAAGUUAGCCCAAGUCUAACCUGUCAACAAGUAGUUCAAUAUCAAAAACUGCAAAUCAAUAUAUAAAUUAACGACAAGGUCACUUUAGAACUGUGAAUCGAAUGAUAUUAUGAUUACCAUCACUAAAAACAUAUCAAACACUCUGUAAUUUAUGACAUGAAUCAAAAUCUUAAUAUAGUAAAUAGGAAAAUUACCGGCUAAGCAGUUGAAUCAAUAGGAUAGGGCCACACAGAAGCACACGAGUGCAUACUAAAAUUCGGAUUUGACGAAUUUGUUCCUUCCAAAACUCAAGCAAAAAGGAAAACGAAGAAAAGAUAAAGAACCUUUACAGACAAAAAAAGCACAAUCAAUGCUUUGGAAUUUUGAUAAUGCUUGUUCCUUACCUACGGAAUGUUUCUGGCACUUUAAUACAAACCGUUCGAUUGAUAUUACUAAUUCUCAACCGUCGAUUAUCAGCUUUUCCAAUUAAAGGUUGCUGUGUUUCGACGCUUCCGUUCCUUCACCACUUCUUUGGGUGGGUCCGUUAAUUUGUCUUUUGACUUCUUUUUUUAAAAGUACUUAUUCUUUCGUCCACUUGGUAAGAUUCUAAGCGUAAUUCAUCGAAGGCAUCUUGAUAUCAAGCACACGAAUACUAUCUAUAUCUUUUCUCGUGUUCUCGGGUAUUGAUAAGUUGAUGUGGUUAGUGGACAAGAAGGUCUAGAUAAGUUUGUAGUCAUUUUAUAGAGCGGAAUCUACUCCUUGAAGAUAUGAGUACUCGGUAUUCAUUUCCAACUUUUCCGCUUUUGAAAAGUAAAAGAGUGAUAAAGGGCAAUGGGUGUCAACAAUACCCCGGGCAUUACCAUGGUCUAAAACUAUGGUAAGGAGGAGCUUCCAAACUUUACCGUUGGAACCAAAACCCCAUAUAUGUAAGAAGUCAUUUUCUCACUUCCUUGUUUCAGUUUACAUUUGUAAAUGAGACCACAUUCGAGUGAGCAAAGUCUAUUUUUGUUGGUUUGGGGCGAAAAAUUCUCUUAAGGUUUCCGGGCUUUGCACUUGAGUAAUUUUGACAUCAAUAUUGCAAUCAUAAUAUAUGUAGCACGGGCACUCUCCGAAAGUCUUUGUGUCGUGUCCAACACUCCGACACGCGGUCAACGAGUGUCGAAAAAUCCGACAUGUGGUCAACUCUCUCCGACACGCGAGUCCAGAAUUCUGACACACGAUUCCAACACGCACGGGUCAAUUUUAAAAAUUUCUAAUACUUGAGGGGUCAAAAUAUAAAUAUACACAAAAGAAGUAAUAAAAUUGCUAUAAAUAUACACGCAUGGGUCAAUUUUUCUUUUUAGUUUUGUUUUUUUAUAAUUGUUUUAGUUUUUUUAAAAGUCUUUUACUAUGAAAGAAGUAAUAAAAAAUGCUAUAUAUGAUAAAUAAAUAAAUUUAAAAAUAUCAUUUCAGCAUUUUUCUUUAAACAAUAUUUUUUUCCUCUAAGUUUUAUGUAUUAUUGUAACAAAUUAAAAUAAUGAAUGAUAUUAUUUAAUAUUUUUCGUGUAAAUUAAUUCUAGGCUAUUAUUAUUAUUAUUAUUAUUUAUGUAUUUAUAUAUAAAAAUAUAUUUAAUAUAUAACAUGUCGGAACGUGUCGAAAUUCUCCAUUUUUAAGAAAUGAUGUGUCGGCGUAUCGUAUAAUGUCAUGUCGUGUCGCGUGUCGCGUGUCGUGUGUUCGUGUCGGUGCUAUAUAGAUCGUAACAAUCAAUUGGAAGAAAACGAUUAUUAUGAUCAUGGCAUUGGAAAAAGAAUAUCAAGCAUUGUCUAAUUUCUGACGUGAAUUGAAGUUUCAACAUGGUAAAAAGGAAAACUUACCGCUGAAGUACUUGAAUCAAAAGGACGGGGCCUUGAAGAAAAGCACACAAGUGAAUAAGAAGUUUUGGAUCUGAUAAUCGUUCAUUAUGCAGCUCAAAGCAAAAAGGAGAAAAAAGAAAAAGAAAAAGUAAAGAGCCUCAACAUUCCAAGUUCUUACUUUACGGUCUUUUCUUAUGACAUCCUAUAAAAGUUAUUAUUUCCAAGAAAGCAGCCAAACAUUAUCACCAGAAUAAGAUGAUUGGACCAUUCAUGCAAAAAAUGGGUUCGAUAUGUAUUCUUUUGUCCGAUAAAGCUCUGUCAUUGGAAAAGAAAAAAAGCAUUGCAUGUUGCUCACGAAUAAUUUAACUAGACUUUGGAUAAUGGGGUGUCCCCACUCCCCACUCCCACUCCACUUCUACCAAAGAUGUUUCAUAAGAAAAGCUAAAAAGAUGAAAGCGUCAAUUAUUCGAUAAUGACUUGGCACAAGGAGCACCACACACGAGAGACUUUGGCUAUAUAAUGUGGAUUUGAUUAUUAUACUUGUUCUUUCUACUUUUAUGAUUGAAACAUUACGUAAAGAAUGAUUCGGCAUUUUAAUACCAAAUCUCAGCUGUUGAUUGUCGACUUUUCCAGCAAAAAGAGUAGCUGUGUUUCAACGCUACCCUUCCUUCAUCCACUUUUCUAGUGGCCCCGUCGAUUUGUCCUGGAUGCUUCCCUGAGAAUUGCUUCAUUGAACCGAAAGCAAAAAUUCACGAGGCUAUAAAAGAAAUAUUUCUCUAGUGAGCCUUCCAUUCCAUCAGAACCUUUGAAAAAUAGUUAAGAAAAUCUUCUAAAUUAACUAUACAUAUAGACAAACACACAUUUACGCUCCCAAUUUAGCUUAAAUCACAUCUUUCAUGUAAGCUGACCAAAAUGUUCUCCACACAUAAGUGUACACUUAAGCAUUAAUAGACCCGCCUUUUAUUUAAAAAGAAUAUAUUUGCCUUUUUCAUUUUCUCUCAAAUCUAUUGUCUUGCGUCUUUUCUUAUCUAUUGUAGACUCUUGAUAAGAGAUUUUGAUAUGAAUCCUCUCACUUACUCUUCUUAUUUCAGAAUUUUUUUUAUACAAGAAUCUAUCUUAAGAGCAUCUUCAGCCUAUGAAUCACCAACAUCAAUAAUAUCCAUAUAAAUAUUUAUAGAACCAUCCAUAUUAGUCAUAACUUUCAGAAAAAUGAUUCUUUUUAAAAAAGUUAAAAAUUAUUUUUCAAAGUAUGAUAAAGUAUGAAUGCUUGGAUUAGAAAUUCCGUGAUUGGGUACAGAUACUCUAACGUUGGUUUCCCAGCCCUUGACAGCGGGAUCGAGUCUAUCGAGGCCAGGUUCUAGACCUUAAUGCCCAUGCCUAGGUCGUUGACUCUUGAGUCCAAAUCUAUUGAGGCGAGGCUCGCGAUUUCUGUGCAUUCUGCCUUGGUAUAUGUUGAAUAUGUAGGUGUUAUAUACAUUUCAAAUUCAAAUUCACGCAAGCGAGCGCAUGCAAAUAUCUAUGAAAAUGUCUACUAUCAUGAGGAAGAAUAAAGUUGCCCUUUAAUGAAUUUUCUCAAGUAUUUUGCAAGUUCCGAGGGUCGACUCGUGCUUUCUUUCUGCCUCUGCCUUGGUAUAUGGUCCACAUGAUAAAUUGACAUGAUGGCAGACUAAGCAAAGUGACAUGUCACGUGUUCUCUUUCGUCAAACGGUACAAUAAUUGCUAUUCUACGUCAUGUCACGUGAAUGGCUUAAGUCGAAUCGUUUGUUUACUUUUUAAUAGCUGAUAAUCAUCUCUUUCUUUCUCCAUUCGAUCGCUAUUCCACGCUCCCCUUCAUCCAUUUUUGGCGCUCGAAUCUCUUCGCCAUCGUUCGUCUCUCGCUCUGUUUCGCUCUUUCUUCCCCUCGGCACACCCAUUCUUCCUCAUCCUCUUCCUGCUCUUCCUCCUCUUCAGUAUCUGCUGCUCUUUUUCAUCGUUCGAUUGCCUAUUCUACGCUCCCCUUCCUUCGUCCUUCUUUGGCACUCGAAUCUCUUCGCCUUGUUCGUCUCGCGCUCUGUUUCGCUCUUUCUUCUCCUCGGCACACCCAUUCUUCCUCAUCCUCUUCCUCCUGUCUUCCUCCUUUUUCUGUGCUCAAAUCUCUUGGCUUUGCUCGUCUCUUGCUCUGUUUCGCUCUUUCUUCUCGUCGGCUCAACCAUUCUUCUUCCUCCUCCUCCUCCUCCUCCUCCGCUUCCUCUUUAGUUUCUGCUGCUCCUUUUCAUCAUUCUCCCUCUCCGUCUCUCUUUUUUCUCGCUCUUUCUUUCUCU